RNAcentral lists this transfer RNA (66 nucleotides) under Marmota monax (woodchuck). Its description in RNAcentral is "tRNA.Ala". The record is from RNAcentral. Lineage: Eukaryota; Metazoa; Chordata; Mammalia; Rodentia; Sciuridae.
GGAUUGUGGCUCAGUGGUAGAGCGCUCUCCUAGCAUGCGAGGCCCUGGGUUCAAUCCUCAGCACCA